RNAcentral lists this ribosomal RNA (253 nucleotides) under uncultured bacterium. Its description in RNAcentral is "partial 16S ribosomal RNA". It matches the Rfam family "Bacterial small subunit ribosomal RNA", at positions 524 to 776 of the family's 1533-position model. The record is from RNAcentral.
UACGUAGGUGGCAAGCGUUGUCCGGAAUUAUUGGGCGUAAAGCGCGCGCAGGCGGUCCUUUAAGUCUGAUGUGAAAGCCCACGGCUCAACCGUGGAGGGUCAUUGGAAACUGGGGGACUUGAGUGCAGAAGAGGAGAGUGGAAUUCCACGUGUAGCGGUGAAAUGCGUAGAGAUGUGGAGGAACACCAGUGGCGAAGGCGGCUCACUGGCCCGGUACUGACGCUGAGGUGCGAAAGCGUGGGGAGCAAACAGG